GACGAAUGCUGGCUGCGUGCUUAACACAUGCAAGUCGAACGGUGAAGGGGAGCUUGCUCCCCGGAUCAGUGGCGAACGGGUGAGUAACACGUGGGCAACCUGCCCCUCACUCUGGGAUAACUCCGGGAAACCGGGGCUAAUACCGGAUACGACCGGGAGCGACAUCGCUCCUGGUGGAAAGGACUUCGGUGAGGGAUGGGCCCGCGGCCUAUCAGCUAGUUGGUGGGGUAACGGCCCACCAAGGCGACGACGGGUAGCCGGCCUGAGAGGGCGACCGGCCACACUGGGACUGAGACACGGCCCAGACUCCUACGGGAGGCAGCAGUGGGGAAUAUUGCGCAAUGGGCGAAAGCCUGACGCAGCGACGCAGCGUGAGGGACGAAGGCCUUCGGGUUGUAAACCUCUUUCAGCGGGGACGAAGCGAAAGUGACGGUACCCGCAGAAGAAGCACCGGCUAACUACGUGCCAGCAGCCGCCGCAG
This 481-nucleotide ribosomal RNA is filed under the name uncultured bacterium. Its description in RNAcentral is "partial 16S ribosomal RNA". It matches the Rfam family "Bacterial small subunit ribosomal RNA", at positions 28 to 523 of the family's 1533-position model. The record is from RNAcentral.